Vicugna pacos (alpaca) is the source of this 916-nucleotide non-coding RNA. NCBI's taxonomy places the organism in Eukaryota, Metazoa, Chordata, Mammalia, Artiodactyla, Camelidae. The record is from RefSeq and is a predicted model, not a curated record.
UGCCACCUCUGUAGUAUUCCUACCAAAUAAUGCAGAAUCUGAAUCUAGUCUUGAGGAAACAGCAGACAAGCCUACACUGAAGGAACAUCCACAAAAUCACAGGCUACAAACUAGCUUCAAAAAGGCCAUGUCACGAGAGACAGAGACUACAGAAUGCCUUCAGAUGAAAGGAAGAUGAGGAGAUUGACGACAUUGCCAAUCGGGCACUUCUUUGCCAUAAAGAACAUAAUUGGUGACAUCUGAAUAAGGUUGAGGAGUUUACUAGUGAAAUAUGAGGCAAAGAUACCCGAGUGACAGAAAGAAAACUCUGAAAAUGUCCCUUUUCAAGCCAAGUGUGGACCUGGCCUUGACCUUCCCAAAAGGACAAGAAACUGGGUCCGCAGGCGGAAAGAUCCCAUUUCCCUCAGUUGAGAAAUGAGGGUAUUCACCCUGAGGUUGUGAAGAUCAAAUGAGGUGUGUGUCAAAGGGCUUUGGAAAUGUCUGAAAUAAUGUCUGAAUCUGCCUUGGGGCCAGUUCUGCACUUGGGGUCAAAUACUGAGAUUGGGUUUAACCGGGCAGAUACGGAAGGAGGAGCCGCCAGGAGAAUCAUUCCAUCAGCGCCUUUGAUGAGAAGCAUUCACUCAUCCCACCAAUGCCUUUGCGAGAAUCAUUCACUCAUCCCACCAACGCCUUUGACCUCCCACUGAACAGGGUCUUUUGUUUGGUCAGGAAUGUUUACCCACCGCCUGAUGAGUGUGGCCGUCUGGAACGGUUCUUGACUUUCGGAAUGGGAGUUCGGAGGGAGCAGAACACCUGCAGAUGUCUGUUGUUAUUUUCAGUUGCAGAUUCUCCCAGGGUAUUUGCAUAAGAGCCCUCCACCCUCUCGCCAGAGCUGCGCUGUACAGCUGAAUCCAGUGCGGGAUGAGCAGGAAAAAAA